This is a long non-coding RNA of Triticum urartu, 6166 nucleotides long. RefSeq lists it as uncharacterized. The record is from RefSeq and is a predicted model, not a curated record. Lineage: Eukaryota; Viridiplantae; Streptophyta; Magnoliopsida; Poales; Poaceae.
AGCCGUGUCCGGUAAGGAAUCGGUUGGCGCCAGCCGCCAGGCCUCCCCCACCGCCUCUGCCCCGACUACAAAAGGCGCCCCAGGUGCGCCCUCUCCUCCCCGCGCUCUGGCCUCCUUUGAGCUUUCGUUCGGGCCGCGCCUCUGCUCUCGCCCAAGUCGCCUCAUCGCGUCUCCGCGAUUGUUCCCUUUCCUUUCUCUCGUCGUCUCGAUUCGUUUCGAAUCCCUCGUCGCCUCUGCUCCCUGUGCUCGCAGGGAAUUCGGCCCGUCUCGUCCGCCUCCGGGGAGCGAUCGACCGGGGAUUCCGUCGAGCCGUUCGGUUUUGCUUCUGCGGCUGAUUUGGUUUCGGGCGACCCCAGGGCCGGAGCAAGGUCAGUUUCUCGUGCUCGGUCCGAUCGGUUCCUUGGUCCCGUCACCUGCCUGCGCUCGUCUCGUCGGUGGUUUCAGAUUUGAAUUGAAUUGAAGGGCCUUCCGGUUCCAUGUCCCCGAUCGAGCGCCCUCGUCGUGAUGUUAAUACGAGGUGAAUUCGAGACCCUCGUGGAUUCUUGCUGUGCCGGCUGAUCUAGCUUUUGCUGUAUGUGCUCUGCUCUCAUCCUAGAUGCAGAACCAAUUGAGCGGGCGCUAGUUCUGGUCAGACGAUAUAGAUGAAGGGGCGAGGUUUGACUUCUGUUCAUGGUUAUUCUGAUUGAUUGGUUACAGUCCAACGGUUAUUCUGAUAUGGUCAGAUUUUCUCGGAUGAUCAAGCUUUCUAUCUCUUAUCAAGCUAUAUAGGAUGGAAUACACGAUCUGCGUUUGGAUAAUAUGUCAAUCCCUCCUAAUUUAGUUUCUUGGUUUGCACUGUAAGGUACAAAUUCUGAUUUGGAUAUUUUGCUGGCUGUCCAGAAAUUGGGAUUACAGUGCCUAACGGGAGCCACUCGUCUUCUUGCUGACCUGCGUUUGCAUGAUCACUCUCUGCUCAAUUUGUUCUUCUGCACAAUUCAAUUAUUCUCCCAACAACUCUGAUUUUGAUAUGCUGCUGGCUCUCCAGAAACUGGAAUUACAUAGCCUAGCGGCGGGUGGUCCUAUUUUGGCUCUCCAUGGCGUUUCUUCUUAUGGGGAUCAACUUUCUGGACCUUUCUUAUUGAAAUAAUUAUAUUUCAGCAAACAUUAGUUUCCCUGCCUUAGUCAUUCUCAGCUCUUGCAGAUGGUGCCUUGCAAGGGAUAUAAUUGGAGCUUGUGUUGUCUACCUGACCUGAUGAGUUUGCGGUUCUUCUGAAUCUAUCUUCUCAAUUCCUUAACUUAGAUAAUAGUACUAAGAUUUCUUACUAGGCAAUAUUUCAAAUUCAGAUUUAGCUGCAAAGGUGCAAGAAUGAAGCUUCAAACUAGUGGCGUAUCCUACAACCGGAAAAAACUUAAUCUCUUAUCCUCUUAUUUUUAUUUAAUACAGCUACAUGUUCUUGUCUUUGAUUUAGGUUUUUUGCUUCUGCCCUCCAUGUCGUUGCAGAUUUGUUUUGGCCUCAGACAAUGCUGGUAGUGAGCCUGAAUCUGUUAAAAUUCGUCUGGUUUGCCAUCUACUAUCUCUUUGUGGUUUGAUUGGUUAUCUGUACUCUUGAUCCCUGCGUUAGUCUUCCUGCCCAUUGCUAUCUGAUAUAUUUAGGAAGCCGGGGACUACAUGCAAACAUGUGCUUUGUACGUGUCACGGUGUCAGGUCAGUGUCUUGACUGUUGGUUCAUUUGUGUUUGCUUCCAUGCGUUGGUUGCAGGACUGGAUCUGGUAUGUGGAGAUCCCUGGGGUGUUGUAUGUCGAAGGGGAUUUGAGGCAGGUAGAUUUGAAUGGCUGUCGUUCGUGUGGUCUUCUGGUUCUCACUUCUGGUUCUCACCGGAGGACAUGUUUUGGUGUUCUAACUGAAGUUUUGGGUUGCUCAUCAACCUGGAACUUGUGAUCCGUGUUUGGAUGAUCUCAAAUUCUCGAUCACUCUGACUUAACUUCUUCAUAUUCAUUUUCAUAGUAAAAUAAUUUACUCUCCAGAGGUUCUGAUUUGGAUUAUCAUUGAUGGAUCUCCAGAAAUUUGGAUUUGGCUUAGCGGCGGGGCUGGUCUUCUUCCGAUCACUUUGACUUAACUUCUUCAUAUUCAUUUACAUAGUAAAAUAAUUUACUCUCUAGAGGUUCUGAUUUGGAUUAUCAUUGAUGGAUCUCCAGAAAUCUGGAUUUGGCUUAGCGACGGGGGUGGUCUUCUUCUUGCUGAUCUGCUUUGGAAUCAUUGCUUCCUCCAUUUCAUUUAUUUCUCUCCAUAGCUCACCUUUAGUCUACGACAAUCCUGAUUUGCAUUUGUUGGUGGUUCUUCAGAAAUUGGGUUAUAUGGCUUAGCGGGAGCACCUAUUGUCUUGGUGGUCUACAUUGGAUGAUCGUUACCUUCUCAGAUUAAUUUCUUCUUCUCCAGAGUUCAAUUAGUCUCCCAACAAAUUCUGAUUGUGAUCUGUUGAUGGUUUUCCAGAAAUUGGAAUUGCGGGCGGUCCUAUUUUGCCUCAGCAUGGCAGUUCCUUUUGUGGCUCAAACUUUUUCAACCUUCCUUAUUGAACUGUAAUGACAUUAGGUUUUAUCUGCCUUAGUCGGUAAUUCUCAGCUCUUGCAGAUACUUGACAUGGAAAGGAUAUAACUGCAGUUUCGGACUGGUGUUGUUGUUGUCCGUCAACCAUAGCUGAACUUCCUAUCGGAGACAGGCUUAUUUGUUCCUGCCCAUCGUUUGAUCAAUGCUUUAACAUUUCCCCCUAACUGAAAAUUUACAGAAAGGUCUCUUGCUCAUUGCAGGUUGUAGUUGGCAAACUCAAGCCCAACCUGAUGAUGAAUCUGUUUGCAAAUCUUCUAAAUCCACUAGUAUUGUUUCAAUUCAUUUUAACUUAAGUAAAACUACAAAUUAUCUUACUAGGCAAUAUUUUAUAAUACAGAUUCAUAUGCAUAAAUCUAAGGAUAAUCCGAAGUUUUUGACCAAUGGCACAUCCUACAACCGAAAAUAACUCUUGCCAUCCUUCUUUUAAUUUCAUUUAGCUGCUUGGCCAUGUCUUUGAUAUAGGUUUUUGCUCCUGCCCUUCCUGUGGUUGCAGAUUUGUUUUAGCCGAGGUCAUUUGGGUAAUGACGCGGAAUCUGUGUUAAUAUUUUGGUUUGCGAUCUAGCUCUUCGUCGUUAUCUUUAACUCUUUAUCCCUAUGUUCUAUUGGUCUUCUGCAAGUGUGGGUUGCAGGAUAUAAUAGUUAGGAGUUUGUGCCCAAACCUUCAUUUGUUAGCGCCACCUCCGUGAGUUCGCUUGCAGGACUGGAUCUGGAUCUGGUUUGGACAGGAAACUCCCUAUGGUGUAUAACAGUAUAGGAAGGAGGCUUGAGGCAGGUCAGUUUCCCAUGUUCGGUCACAUUGGUUUACUGGAUCCCUCAUCUGUGCUCGGUGAUGGAAGAUUUGAGUGGCUAUACCUUGAGUUCUUCUGUCUUUGUCUGAUGGCUCAUCAGUACCGUUGUCCCUCAAUACGAGUACAGCUGAUCUCGCUUGUGGUAUGCGUUUGUGCUCCUUGAGAUGCAGGAUGUUGUGGAGUGAUGAAUCAAAGGAUCGAGGUUUGCCUUACUGUUCAUGGUUAUUUUGAUUGGUUAUGGCUCAGUGGAUGGUUAUAAGCUAGGAUCUUAUGUGCUGAUGUUUCCCUUAUGGAUUGAAGUUGUGGAUUGGAUAGUUAAACAUGGGAUGGGAUCAGAGAAUUUGUGAACAGUGCUCGGAUAAUCAAUCCUCCUUGAUUUAGUUUCUUUGUUUGCACAGUCAAAUUUAGCUUACAACAUCUCUGAUAUAGAUUGUUGGUUCUGGGGACUUUCCGGAAGGUGCUCUGUUUUGUUUCACCAUGUUACAGGCGGUUUCUUCUGUUGACUUCAAUAUUUCCUGAUUUGUUUUGAACAUUAUACUUCCUAUGGUUUUCUCUGCCCUUGGUAACUAUGUGUCCUUGCAGAUAUUGACAUGGAUGAGAGAUAAUAUAGUUCGCUAUCUGGAACUGGUGUCGUUGCCUAACUGAUCUCUCCCAGCCAAGCAGGCUUAUCCUAGCCCCUAACUGUUUUUGAUGCAUUAUUUAGCUGUUUAAUGGGAAGGUGGCUGCAGGUCCUAAUUGACUUAUUUAGGUCCACCCUGAUGUGGAGUUAUCUGUUUGAAGAUCUUCUAAACCCUACACCUUUCCAAUUCAUUGCAAUUUGUUCAACAUAUAAAUUAUCUUAUGGAGACAAUUUGAACAUUCAGAUUUAUUUGGUGGAUCUUUAAGAUUCGAAGGUUGCUCUGGGGCUUCAGUCUUGAUGGGACAUCCUACAACCGAAAAAACCUCUCUACAACCGAAAAAUUAUCUUAUGCUGAGUUAUCUCCUGAAGAAACUUGUGUUGUCUUGGUUUCCUUUUGCUUGUAGCAUUGAUUGUGGUUUUUUGCUUCCGCCUUCCUGUGGUUGCAGAUCAAGCCAUGCUGGUAGCCAUUCAAAAUAUGUUACCUUUGUGGUUUCUCAUCCUCUCUGGUUUACUUUGUUAUCUGUACUCCCCAUCCAUGUGUUUCUGUUGAUCUGUUGGCAUGCUGGAUUUGUUCUUUGCAGUAUAUGUUGGAAUUGGUGGGUGUGCCCUGUAGAGUCAGGUGAAUUUUAUCUCGUUCAUGGCAUGCGCAUUUGUUCCUUUAGAUACAAGACAGUGGAGAUUGUAUUGAAGGCUAGAGGUUUGGGUGAUUUAUGGCUGUUCUUUAGCUCCUCGGAUGAUAUCUUAAGUUUGGGAUUGGAAUUGUUGGUCAUGCCUGCAUGGUUGAGGAUUCAUAAGUGUCUUGAGGCGUGACUGGACUGUUUUGGAUAUAUUCUCCUCCUAUUUUGUUUCUCCAUGUGAGCAGUUUGGUUUCUGUUCUGAGUAUUAUUUGGAUUUUUGGUUGUUCUAUUUGAGCGUAGGCUUGCCAGGACUACUUUUUGGCUCAAUAGUUGGAAUGGGGCAGAGCUCUAGGAGAUUCUUCGUGAUUUGAUCUUGUCAAACUUCUCUCUGUUAGCUUUUAACAUUCCAAACAUUGUUCUUUCUUGUCAGUAACUCUUAGUUCUAUGCAGAUGUGGCAUACAAUGAGGAUAAUUCAGAUCAGCGUGCAUAACUUCCCUAAACCAGGCUUAUCCCUAUCUCCCUUUCUAUACUUGUUCACAUGUUUUUGAUGUUGAACAACUUUCUCCAAAAUGGUUAGGCAUCAUGGUCUCUUGUUCAUUGCAGGUGUACUUGACAAUUUUACGAAAGAAAUCCGAUGUCAUGCUGUGUGAAAAUUUGCUUGGAGACCUUCUGAUUUCACAUUUUUCUAUUUAGUUAGCUAGAAAACCAAUUAGCUGUCAAGUCUGAGUAUUCAAACUAAUCCGCAGAGGUGAAGAGUUCUAAAAGCUUGUUUGGGAGCUUCUUUUUGGAUAGAGGACUAAUUUGAACUAAAACCACGAUACUUAUUUUGGGACAGAGGAUAUAUGCUCCAUCCUUGUUUUGACUCAUUGUCCAGUUCUAAUUUUCCUUGAAGAAACUUUUAAGUAUGCCGGCGUACCUUUUGCGUCAGCGAGGAAAUGGGGACAACGGCUUAAGCCAUUAGGUGGGCUGUUCAUUGAUAGGCACUGUUGGAGGUUUUAUUGGAAGAUUGUUGAGUUGGAAAGUCUAGCAAAACGUCAGUUGGUGGGGGUACUCGGUGAAGCAAAUGGAUUAAUCCUGAUCCUGAAGCAUACUACUUGAUUUGGUCUUUGUGGCAGCUUUCAGUUUGAACUUGCAUUCAGUGGUAGUCUGGAGUUAGUAGUGUGCACAUCUGAUUCUUCCAACCGUCCUGAAGCAUCUUACUUGGUUUCUGUUCUGUGCCAUCGGUAUCUGCUUCAACUUGCAUGUGGUUUAUAAUAUGAUCUCAUCUUUUGCUCCGAAUCAAGAAAAUGCUAGAAGUAAUGAUGCCUUAACUGGAAGUUCCUUUAGUCUCAAACAACGGUCCAACAAUGGAAAUAUCAGUUCAUACUUGUAUAGGAGAUUAAUCAAAUUUUCAUUUGGCUAUUAAUUGCCAUACUGUUUCCGGAAGCUGGGUUUUAAUAGGCUGCUUGUAUCUAAUUUUAUAUCUAGCAGCAAUAUCUUAGCUGCAAAUUUAUAUCAAUGUACAUGAGCUCUGUAUAUGCAGUAAAAUAUCUCCAUAUAUUUGAUUGCUUUGGGACA